This 754-nucleotide ribosomal RNA is filed under the name Klebsiella sp. enrichment culture clone MHF ENV III. RNAcentral describes it as "bacterial SSU rRNA". It matches the Rfam family "Bacterial small subunit ribosomal RNA", at positions 37 to 787 of the family's 1533-position model. The record is from RNAcentral. Lineage: Bacteria; Pseudomonadati; Pseudomonadota; Gammaproteobacteria; Enterobacterales; Enterobacteriaceae.
CACCGGCAUCCUCUACACAUGCAGUCGAGCGGUAGCACAGAGAGCUUGCUCUCGGGUGACGAGCGGCGGACGGGUGAGUAAUGUCUGGGAAACUGCCUGAUGGAGGGGGAUAACUACUGGAAACGGUAGCUAAUACCGCAUAACGUCGCAAGACCAAAGUGGGGGACCUUCGGGCCUCAUGCCAUCAGAUGUGCCCAGAUGGGAUUAGCUAGUAGGUGGGGUAACGGCUCACCUAGGCGACGAUCCCUAGCUGGUCUGAGAGGAUGACCAGCCACACUGGAACUGAGACACGGUCCAGACUCCUACGGGAGGCAGCAGUGGGGAAUAUUGCACAAUGGGCGCAAGCCUGAUGCAGCCAUGCCGCGUGUGUGAAGAAGGCCUUCGGGUUGUAAAGCACUUUCAGCGGGGAGGAAGGCGUUAAGGUUAAUAACCUUAUCGAUUGACGUUACCCGCAGAAGAAGCACCGGCUAACUCCGUGCCAGCAGCCGCGGUAAUACGGAGGGUGCAAGCGUUAAUCGGAAUUACUGGGCGUAAAGCGCACGCAGGCGGUCUGUCAAGUCGGAUGUGAAAUCCCCGGGCUCAACCUGGGAACUGCAUUCGAAACUGGCAGGCUAGAGUCUUGUAGAGGGGGGUAGAAUUCCAGGUGUAGCGGUGAAAUGCGUAGAGAUCUGGAGGAAUACCGGUGGCGAAGCGGCCCCCUGGACAAAGACUGACGCUCAGUGCGAAAGCGUGGGGAGCAAACAGAUUAGUACCG